Prinia subflava (tawny-flanked prinia) is the source of this 515-nucleotide long non-coding RNA. RefSeq lists it as uncharacterized. The record is from RefSeq and is a predicted model, not a curated record. The transcript has 3 exons. NCBI's taxonomy places the organism in Eukaryota, Metazoa, Chordata, Aves, Passeriformes, Cisticolidae.
UUUCUUCAGGAGAAGAGAGAUGGGAACCACAAAAGUAAAUUCUCAGUCCUUGAAAGAUGUAUGGACCAUUAGACAAGAGGACAAGAACAAUGGGAUCUCCAAACACAGUGUUCUUUUGAAAGACCAUUGAGUAGAGAAAUUGCUUCAAUAUUUAUCUUAAAUUCUGCCAAAUUUCUAGGAACCACCAUAUAAGUACUGUUUCAGGCAGCAUCUCCUGCAAAGGGAGAGAUGAAACUGCCACAUUAGAAAGUAAAUAAUUACUAUCAGCUCUAUCAACAGCAACACUUCCACUUCUGCCCUGAGCUGUUGGAGGUUUUCCUAGGAGAGAACUGCAGAUGAACGAUGUAAUGAGAAGUAUCAGCUACUGAAGACAGAAAAUGUUUAUGCUCAUAAUAAUGCCUACAAAUAUAAAUUGUGCUUAUAAUAUUUCUGUAGCUUCUAAUGCUUAUAAGAGAGAAAUUCUAUUCUAAAGACCUGAAGUAAUUAAAAUGAGUAAUAAUGAGGUUCUAAAAGGA